CUCCUCUCUACCCCAGACAGUGGUAUAGGUCUGAAGUGUGUAAUACAUAUUGUAUUCUCCUCUCUACUCCAGACAGUGGUAUAGGUCUGAAGUGUGUAAUACAUAUUGUAUUCUCCUCUCUACCACAGACAGUGGUAUAGGUCUGAAGUGUGUAAUACAUAUUGUAUUCUCCUCUCUACUCCAGACAGUGGUAUAGGUCUCCUCUCUACUCCAGACAGUGGUAUAGGUCUCCUCUCUACUCCAGACAGUGGUAUAGGUCUCCUCUCUACUCCAGACAGUGGUAUAGGUCUCCUCUCUACUCCAGACAGUGGUAUAGGUCUGAAGUGUGUAAUACAUAUUGUAUUGUCCUCUCUACCACAGACAGUGGUAUAGGUCUGAAGUGUGUAAUACAUAUUGUAUUCUCCUCUCUACUCCAGACAGUGGUAUAGGUCUGAAGUGUGUAAUACAUAUUGUAUUCUCCUCUCUACUCCAGACAGUGGUAUAGGUCUCCUCUAUACUCCAGACAGUGGUAUAGGUCUCCUCUCUACCCCAGACAGUGGUAUAGGUCUGAAGUGUGUAAUACAUAUUGUAUUCUCCUCUCUACCCCAGACAGUGGUAUAGGUCUGAAGUGUGUAAUACAUAUUGUAUUCUCCUCUCUACCCCAGACAGUGGUAUAGGUCUCCUCUCUACUCCAGACAGUGGUAUAGGUCUGAAGUGUGUAAUACAUAUUGUAUUCUCCUCUCUACCCCAGACAGUGGUAUAGGUCUCCUCUCUACCCCAGACAGUGGUAUAGGUCUGAAGUGUGUAAUACAUAUUGUAUUCUCCUCUCUACCCCAGACAGUGGUAUAGGUCUCCUCUCUACCCCAGACAGUGGUAUAGGUCUGAAGUGUGUAAUACAUAUUGUAUUCUCCUCUCUACUCCAGACAGUGGUAUAGGUCUGAAGUGUGUAAUACAUAUUGUAUUCUCCUCUCUACCCCAGACAGUGGUAUAGGUCUGAAGUGUGUAAUACAUAUUGUAUUCUCCUCUCUACCCCAGACAGUGGUAUAGGUCUGAAGUGUGUAAUACAUAUUGUAUUCUCCUCUCUACCCCAGACAGUGGUAUAGGUCUCCUCUCUACUCCAGACAGUGGUAUAGGUCUGAAGUGUGUAAUACAUAUUGUAUUGUCCUCUCUACCACAGACAGUGGUAUAGGUCUGAAGUGUGUAAUACAUAUUGUAUUAUCCUCUCUACUCCAGACAGUGGUAUAGGUCUGAAGUGUGUAAUACAUAUUGUAUUCUCCUCUCUACCCCAGACAGUGGUAUAGGUCUGAAGUGUGUAAUACAUAUUGUAUUCUCCUCUCUACCCCAGACAGUGGUAUAGGUCUCCUCUCUACUCCAGACAGUGGUAUAGGUCUGAAGUGUGUAAUACAUAUUGUAUUGUCCUCUCUACCACAGACAGUGGUAUAGGUCUCCUCUCUACUCCAGACAGUGGUAUAGGUCUCCUCUCUACUCCAGACAGUGGUAUAGGUCUGAAGUGUGUAAUACAUAUUGUAUUCUCCUCUCUACUCCAGACAGUGGUAUAGGUCUGAAGUGUGUAAUACAUAUUGUAUUCUCCUCUCUACUCCAGACAGUGGUAUAGGUCUGAAGUGUGUAAUACAUAUUGUAUUCUCCUCUCUACUCCAGACAGUGGUAUAGGUCUCCUCUAUACUCCAGACAGUGGUAUAGGUCUCCUCUCUACCCCAGACAGUGGUAUAGGUCUGAAGUGUGUAAUACAUAUUGUAUUCUCCUCUCUACCCCAGACAGUGGUAUAGGUCUGAAGUGUGUAAUACAUAUUGUAUUCUCCUCUCUACCCCAGACAGUGGUAUAGGUCUCCUCUCUACUCCAGACAGUGGUAUAGGUCUGAAGUGUGUAAUACAUAUUGUAUUCUCCUCUCUACCCCAGACAGUGGUAUAGGUCUCCUCUCUACCCCAGACAGUGGUAUAGGUCUGAAGUGUGUAAUACAUAUUGUAUUCUCCUCUCUACUCCAGACAGUGGUAUAGGUCUGAAGUGUGUAAUACAUAUUGUAUUCUCCUCUCUACCCCAGACAGUGGUAUAGGUCUGAAGUGUGUAAUACAUAUUGUAUUCUCCUCUCUACCCCAGACAGUGGUAUAGGUCUCCUCUCUACCCCAGACAGUGGUAUAGGUCUGAAGUGUGUAAUACAUAUUGUAUUCUGCUCUC
Non-coding RNA from Oncorhynchus mykiss (rainbow trout), 2172 nucleotides. NCBI's taxonomy places the organism in Eukaryota, Metazoa, Chordata, Actinopteri, Salmoniformes, Salmonidae. The record is from RefSeq and is a predicted model, not a curated record.